CGCGAUAUUUCGCCGAUAAUAUCGGUUUUUUGAGUUACCGAUAUUUUAAUACUUAUCCACUGAGUUUUCGUCAAAAUAUCGCAAUAUUAUCGAUAAUAUCAACAAUAUCGCGAUAUUACCGAUAAUAUCGCGAUAUUUUGGAGAUGUGCGAAUCGGAGAAGAAGGCCGGAGCUUCUACAGCUCCUGCCGACUGUAAAAGAGCACCCUAGACUCCGAUCUAGGUAUCAAAAUGAAAUACAAGACGAGAGGAAUGUUUUUAUAACUUCCGUUUGCCGUGAAACGGUCGAAGGUGUUCGGAAAGUUCGUCGACACCCACGGCCUCGCCAGAGAUGGGUGUGCCUAUUCUCGAGCCGAUUUCGUCCCAAAAACCUUGCAAAAACACGAGAUAGAACUUAAAUUUCACAUCUAAGCUUCAAUCUAGAAUAGAAUGAGGUAAACCCGAAGCUUACCUAACCGGAGAAAUUCAAGAAACUCGCCAGAGGGUUCCUGCGUCGCCGAGUUGCAGAGACGAGAAAGAGAUGGAGAAAGACGAGGUUGCUGAUAACGAUGGGUGUCUUCCUCAAGCAGGUGCGAUGGUGUGCGUGUGUGUAUGUGGGUCUCGGUGCAGAGAGAAAGGAGAGAGAUGAGAGUUUCAAGAAAGAGACGGCGCCAACGAGAGCUAUUUGUUUUUUUUUAUCUUAAAAAGAGAGAGGUCUAAGAGAAAUGGGAAGAGAGGGCCGAGUGAAAUGAAAGGAGGUCCUUGAAUUAUUGAGAGAUAUCUCUGAGAGAGGCCUAGGAUUUCUAAAAGGUAAUUAGAAAUGGGAAAAAUGGGGCACAUCUUAGCCUUUAUUUUGGAAUCCUAAGAAGUUCACCACAUGGAUGCAUGACAUGUGUGCAUGCCAUGUCUGUUGAAUGGGAAAAGUCUG
Molecule: long non-coding RNA, 905 nt
Filed under: Malus domestica (apple)
Lineage: Eukaryota; Viridiplantae; Streptophyta; Magnoliopsida; Rosales; Rosaceae
Description: long non-coding RNA (MDOM_LNC002131)
Source: RNAcentral